CCUACGUGGAGCAGCAGUGAGGAAUAUUGGUCAAUGGACGAGAGUCUGAACCAGCCAAGUAGCGUGAAGGAUGACUGCCCUAUGGGUUGUAAACUUCUUUUAUAUGGGAGUAAAAUGUUCAACGUGGGGGAUUUUGUAUGUACCAUAUGAAUAAGGAACGGCUCACUCCGUGCCAACAGCAGCGGUAAAACGGCGGAUCCGAGCGUUAACCGGUUUGAUUUGGUUUAACGGGGACGUAGGUGGGUUGUUAAGUUAGUUGUUAAAGUUUGCGGCUCAACCGUAAAAUGGCAGUUGAAACUGGCAGUCUUGAGUACAGUAGAGGUGUGCGGAAUUCUUGGUGUAGCGG
RNAcentral lists this ribosomal RNA (346 nucleotides) under uncultured bacterium. RNAcentral describes it as "partial 16S ribosomal RNA". It matches the Rfam family "Bacterial small subunit ribosomal RNA", at positions 338 to 681 of the family's 1533-position model. The record is from RNAcentral.